CUGGUUCAAUAAACCUUACAGUUCCUGUGUAAGGGAAAACUUGCUGCUGACUACAUCUCAACGUCCCACUUGGGGUAACCAACAAGGUGCGAGAAGUAUAUACAUCAUCUCGUCAUCACACACUCAUUUGAUACAUAAAUUCCAAGAAAAAUACAAAUUUUGGGGUACAAGACCACGAAGGUCCAUGGGGUUAAACAAAAUGUCUAGAGGGUGACGGCGGAAGCGACUCGUGGAUCCCCAGCGUCCAUGGGACUCCAUUCCCACAGGAACCGCUAACCUGGAUAACUCCCAUCUCACAAGGCCGCUACCUCGACUCCUAGAUUCCAUGGUUGAUGUCAUCGUGCUCCUCUCC
Molecule: long non-coding RNA, 352 nt
Filed under: Hordeum vulgare
Lineage: Eukaryota; Viridiplantae; Streptophyta; Magnoliopsida; Poales; Poaceae
Description: long non-coding RNA (HVUL_LNC004991)
Source: RNAcentral